RNAcentral lists this ribosomal RNA (397 nucleotides) under uncultured bacterium. RNAcentral describes it as "partial 16S ribosomal RNA". It matches the Rfam family "Bacterial small subunit ribosomal RNA", at positions 523 to 918 of the family's 1533-position model. The record is from RNAcentral.
AUACGUAGGUGGCAAGCGUUGUCCGGAUUUAUUGGGCGUAAAGCGAGCGCAGGCGGUUUCUUAAGUCUGAUGUGAAAGCCCCCGGCUCAACCGGGGAGGGUCAUUGGAAACUGGGAGACUUGAGUGCAGAAGAGGAGAGUGGAAUUCCAUGUGUAGCGGUGAAAUGCGUAGAUAUAUGGAGGAACACCAGUGGCGAAGGCGGCUCUCUGGUCUGUAACUGACGCUGAGGCUCGAAAGCGUGGGGAGCAAACAGGAUUAGAUACCCUGGUAGUCCACGCCGUAAACGAUGAGUGCUAAGUGUUGGAGGGUUUCCGCCCUUCGGUGCUGCAGCAAACGCAUUAAGCACUCCGCCUGGGGAGUACGACCGCAAGGUUGAAACUCAAAUGAAUUGACGGGG